RNAcentral lists this transfer RNA (66 nucleotides) under Tragelaphus buxtoni (mountain nyala). RNAcentral describes it as "tRNA-Pro". It matches the Rfam family "tRNA". Rfam says of the family: Transfer RNA (tRNA) molecules are approximately 80 nucleotides in length. Their secondary structure includes four short double-helical elements and three loops (D, anti-codon, and T loops). The record is from RNAcentral. Lineage: Eukaryota; Metazoa; Chordata; Mammalia; Artiodactyla; Bovidae.
CAGGGAAUAGUUUAGAUAGAACUUCAGCUUUGGGAGUUGAUGGUGGGGCAAUUGCUUCUUCCCUGA